RNAcentral lists this ribosomal RNA (530 nucleotides) under Junonia lemonias. RNAcentral's name for it is "partial 16S ribosomal RNA". The stretch from base 394 to 530 matches the Rfam family "Bacterial large subunit ribosomal RNA", at positions 2473 to 2610 of the family's 2925-position model. The record is from RNAcentral. Lineage: Eukaryota; Metazoa; Arthropoda; Insecta; Lepidoptera; Nymphalidae.
AAAACAUGUCUUUUUGAUAAUAAUUUAAAGUCUAAUCUGCCCNCUGAUAAUAUAUUAAAGGGCUGCAGUAUAUUGACUGUACAAAGGUAGCAUAAUCAUUAGUCUUUUAAUUGAAGACUUGUAUGAAAGAUUUGAUGAAAUAUAAACUGUCUCUAAUUUAUGUUUAGAAAUUAAUUUUUUAGUUAAAAAGCUAAAAUGACAUUAAAAGACGAGAAGACCCUAUAGAGUUUUAUAUUUUAUUUAAUUAAUAUUAAAUAUAUAAUUAAAUAUAUUAAUUAAAUAAAUUAUUGUGUUGGGGUGAUAGAAAAAUUUAAUAAACUUUUUUUAAAUUUAAACAUAAAUAAGUGGUUGAUUGAUCCAUUAAUAAUGAUUAAAAGAAAAAAUUACCUUAGGGAUAACAGCGUAAUAUUUUUUUUUAGUACUUAUAAAAAAAAAAGUUUGCGACCUCGAUGUUGGAUUAAGAUAAAAUUUAAAUGCAAAAGUUUAAAGUUUUGAUCUGUUCGAUCAUUAAAAUCUUACAUGAUCUGAGC